AGUGUUGUGGUUGUAGAGGAUGUGAGUUGAUGGUCACUAGACUCCAUGAUUUCCAGUGUUGUGGUUGUAGAGGAUGUGAGUUGAUGGUCACUAGACUCCAUGAUUUCCAGUGUUGUGGUUGUAGAGGAUGUGAGUUGGUGGUCACUAGACUCCAUGAUUUCCAGUGUUGUGGUUGUAGAGGAUGUGAGUUGUUGGUCACUAGACUCCAUGAUUUCCAGUGUUGUGGUUGUAGAGGAUGUGAGUUGGUCACUAGACUCCAUGAUUUCCAGUGUUGUGGUUGUAGAGGAUGUGAGUUGGUGGUCACUAGACUCCAUGAUUUCCAGUGUUGUGGUUGUAGAGGAUGUGAGUUGAUGGUCACUAGACUCCAUGAUUUCCAGUGUUGUGGUUGUAGAGGAUGUGAGUUGGUCACUAGACUCCAUGAUUUCCUGUGUUGUGGUUGUAGAGGAUGUGAGUUGAUGGUCACUAGACUCCAUGAUUUCCAGUGUUGUGGUUGUACAGGAUGUGAGUUGGUCACUAGACUCCAUGAUUUCCAGUGUUGUGGUUUUACAGGAUGUGAGGAGGGUUGUACAGGAUGUGAGGAGGGUUGUACUGAUCUGUAGCGGCUGUGAUCUGUAACCCUGUGAUCUGUAGCGGCUGUGAUCUGUAGCGGCUGUGAUCUGUAGCGGCUGUGAUCUGUAACCCUGUGAUCUGUAGCGGCUGUGAUCUGUAACACUGUGAUCUGUAACACUGUGAUCUGUAGCGGCUGUGAUCUGUAACACUGAUCUGUAGCGGCUGUGAUCUGUAACACUGAUCUGUAGCGGCUGUGAUCUGUAACACUGAUCUGUAACACUGAUCUGUAACACUGAUCUGUAACGGCUGUGAUCUGUAACGGCUGUGAUCUGUAACCCUGUGAUCUGUAGCGGCUGUGAUCUGUAGCGGCUGUGAUCUGUAGCGGCUGUGAUCUGUAACCCUGUGAUCUGUAGCGGCUGUGAUCUGUAACACUGUGAUCUGUAACACUGAUCUGUAACUGUGAUCUGUAACAGCUGUGAUCUGUAACGGCUGUGAUCUGUAGCGGCUGUGAUCUGUAGCGGCUGUGAUCUGUAGCGGCUGUGAUCUGUAUCGGCUGUGAUCUGUAGCGGCUGUGAUCUGUAGCGGCUAUGAUCUGUAACGGCUAUGAUCUGUAACACUGAUCUGUAACACUGUGAUCUGUAGCGGCUGUGAUCUGUAGCGGCUGUGAUCUGUAGCGGCUGUGAUCUGUAACAAUGAUCUGUAACACUGAUCUGUAACACUGAUCUGUAACACUGUGAUCUGUAGCGGCUGUGAUCUGUAACACUGUGAUCUGUAACACUGAUCUGUAACACUGAUCUGUAACACUGA
Oncorhynchus keta (chum salmon) is the source of this 1356-nucleotide long non-coding RNA. RefSeq lists it as uncharacterized. The transcript has 3 exons. The record is from RefSeq and is a predicted model, not a curated record. NCBI's taxonomy places the organism in Eukaryota, Metazoa, Chordata, Actinopteri, Salmoniformes, Salmonidae.